Molecule: ribosomal RNA, 426 nt
Filed under: uncultured bacterium
Lineage: Bacteria
Description: bacterial SSU rRNA
Rfam family: Bacterial small subunit ribosomal RNA
Source: RNAcentral
AGGGAAUCUUCCGCAAUGGACGAAAGUCUGACGGAGCAACGCCGCGUGAGUGAUGAAGGUUUUCGGAUCGUAAAACUCUGUUGUUAGGGAAGAACAAGUUGGGUAGUAACUGACCCAACCUUGACGGUACCUAACCAGAAAGCCACGGCUAACUACGUGCCAGCAGCCGCGGUAAUACGUGGGUGGCAAGCGUUGUCCGGAAUUAUUGGGCGUAAAGCGCUCGCAGGCGGUCUUUUAAGUCUGAUGUGAAAGCCCACGGCUUAACCGUGGAGGGUCAUUGGAAACUGGAGGACUUGAGUACAGAAGAGGAGAGUGGAAUUCCACGUGUAGCGGUGAAAUGCGUAGAGAUGUGGAGGAACACCAGUGGCGAAGGCGACUCUCUGGUCUGUAACUGACGCUGAGGAGCGAAAGCGUGGGUAGCGAACA